Molecule: ribosomal RNA, 252 nt
Filed under: uncultured bacterium
Lineage: Bacteria
Description: partial 16S ribosomal RNA
Rfam family: Bacterial small subunit ribosomal RNA
Source: RNAcentral
UACGGAAGGGGCAAGCGUUGUUCGGAAUUAUUGGGCGUAAAGGGCGCGUAGGCGGCCCCAUAUGUCGGCGGUGAAAGCAUACAGCUCAACUGUAUUGAGCCGCGGAAACUGUGGGGCUUGAGGCUGGGAGGGGCUGGUGGAAUUCCCGGUGUAGUGGUGAAAUGCGUAGAGAUCGGGAGGAACACCUGUGGCGAAGGCGGCCGACUGGGCCGACCCUGACGCUGAGGCGCGAAGGCGUGGGGAGCGAACGGG